AGAAAAGUAAGCUAAGUUUAAGCUAAUAGGUUCAUACCCUACAUAUGGGGUUACCCCUUUUUCUA
This 65-nucleotide transfer RNA is filed under the name Potamanthus sp. MT-2014. RNAcentral describes it as "tRNA-Met". The record is from RNAcentral. Lineage: Eukaryota; Metazoa; Arthropoda; Insecta; Ephemeroptera; Potamanthidae.